Paramisgurnus dabryanus is the source of this 648-nucleotide non-coding RNA. NCBI's taxonomy places the organism in Eukaryota, Metazoa, Chordata, Actinopteri, Cypriniformes, Cobitidae. The record is from RefSeq and is a predicted model, not a curated record.
CCUUACCUAUUACUAGCUUCACUUUCUCUGUCAGGACUCUGUCUUUGUUCACCAGUGGUCCCUUUUUUCCCUGUGACGGAGCAUGUUGUCAUUUUUUCUAAGGUGGAAAUGGAGUCCAUCACAGUUCUGAGUAACAUAAGUGUAUGGAAUUGAAAGGACAUAAGGGUUGAUGAUGACAAGGUGAUGACACAAAGGAGCUUCCAUUGCCUUUAUUGCAACUAGGACUGACAAUAAUGUCUGCAAACCCUUCUCCAAAUAUUAAGUCUUAUUCUAUUACAACAUUGCCACCUGCCAGCAACCAAAUAUCUGUUUAAAAAUAUGUUGUCAAUUUUUGUAAAUAGAUCAUUUUGUCAAAAUAAAGAUUAAAAAAAUCUGCCACCACAUUUGUGUGUAGCCUAUAUUGCCUUUAUGCAGAUUUCAAAUGUAUUUAUAUAAUUUAUCAUUGGAACCAAAGUACACAUUAUCACACUUGUUGAUGCACAGUAAAGCCAAAAGUUGAUGUUUACGCAAACAUUAGCCUACUUGUGGUUUGGUAACAUGUGAUCCACAUGUUGAAACUAUUGCAUUAUAUAUGACAUUUCUCACAUGUGCUUUAUGUUAUAACAUGUUCCACAUGUGCGCUAUUAUGUUGCAGCAUGUGGUGAGAUG